This 182-nucleotide microRNA precursor is filed under the name Prunus dulcis (almond). Its description in RNAcentral is "sRNA ncRNA". Lineage: Eukaryota; Viridiplantae; Streptophyta; Magnoliopsida; Rosales; Rosaceae. The record is from RNAcentral.
GAAAUUGAGGAGAGGGAUGAAUAAGAGGAAACAUAAGGCAUGGGUGGAUUGGGAAAGAUAACAUUUUUUUUUAAUCUACUUCUAAGUUGUAACCACUCAAAAGUAGUAAUUAGUUUUAUCAUCUUCCCCACUCACCCAUGCCAUAACCUUCCUAAAAUUCCAUCUCCCUCUCCAUAUUCUCU